CCCUACGGGGCGCAGCAGUAGGGAAUCUUCCACAAUGGGCGAAAGCCUGAUGGAACAACGCCGCGUGGGUGAAGAAGGUCUUCGGAUCGUAAAACCCUGUUGUUAAAGAAGAAAGUGCGUGAGAGUAACUGUUCACGUUUCGACGGUAUCUAACCAGAAAGCCACGGCUAACUACGCGCCAGCAGCCGCGGUAAUACGUAGGUGGCAAGCGUUAUCCGGAUUUAUUGGGCGUAAAGGGAACGCAGGCGGUCUUUUAAGUCUGAUGUGAAAGCCUUCGGCUUGACCGGAGUAGUGCAUUGGAAACU
Molecule: ribosomal RNA, 305 nt
Filed under: uncultured bacterium
Lineage: Bacteria
Description: bacterial SSU rRNA
Rfam family: Bacterial small subunit ribosomal RNA
Source: RNAcentral